RNAcentral lists this transfer RNA (84 nucleotides) under Bacteroidales bacterium. Its description in RNAcentral is "tRNA-Leu". It matches the Rfam family "tRNA". Rfam says of the family: Transfer RNA (tRNA) molecules are approximately 80 nucleotides in length. Their secondary structure includes four short double-helical elements and three loops (D, anti-codon, and T loops). RNAcentral also lists the same sequence under 1 other name. Lineage: Bacteria; Pseudomonadati; Bacteroidota; Bacteroidia; Bacteroidales. The record is from RNAcentral.
GCCCAGGUGGCGGAAUUGGUAGACGCGCUAGUUUCAGGGACUAGUAUUCGUAAGGAUGUGCAAGUUCGAGUCUUGUCCUGGGCA